GAUGAACGCUAGCUACAGGCUUAACACAUGCAAGUCGAGGGGUAACGAGAGGAAAGCUUGCUUUCCUUGUCGACGACCGGCGCACGGGUGAGUAACGCGUAUCCAACCUGCCCCCAACUAGGGAAUAACCUUGCGAAAGUAAGACUAAUACCCUAUAAUUUCCUCAGAUGUCAUCUGACGAGGAAUAAAGAUUUAUCGGUUGUGGAUGGGGAUGCGUCUGAUUAGCUUGUUGGCGGGGUAACGGCCCACCAAGGCAACGAUCAGUAGGGGUUCUGAGAGGAAGGUCCCCCACAUUGGAACUGAGACACGGUCCAAACUCCUACGGGAGGCAGCAGUGAGGAAUAUUGGUCAAUGGGCGGAAGCCUGAACCAGCCAAGUAGCGUGCAGGAUGACGGCCCUAUGGGUUGUAAACUGCUUUUGUACAGAACGAAAAGGUUUCUACUAAUACUAGGAGCUCAUGACGGUACUGUAAGAAUAAGCACCGGCUAACUACGUGCCAGCCGCCGCAGUAA
RNAcentral lists this ribosomal RNA (512 nucleotides) under uncultured bacterium. Its description in RNAcentral is "partial 16S ribosomal RNA". It matches the Rfam family "Bacterial small subunit ribosomal RNA", at positions 28 to 523 of the family's 1533-position model. The record is from RNAcentral.